Molecule: ribosomal RNA, 583 nt
Filed under: uncultured bacterium
Lineage: Bacteria
Description: partial 16S ribosomal RNA
Rfam family: Bacterial small subunit ribosomal RNA
Source: RNAcentral
UGGGGAAUUUUGGACAAUGGGGGAAACCCUGAUCCAGCCAUCCCGCGUGUGCGAUGAAGGCCUUCGGGUUGUAAAGCACUUUUGGCAGGAAAGAAACGUCGCGGGUUAAUACCCCGCGAAACUGACGGUACCUGCAGAAUAAGCACCGGCUAACUACGUGCCAGCAGCCGCGGUAAUACGUAGGGUGCAAGCGUUAAUCGGAAUUACUGGGCGUAAAGCGUGCGCAGGCGGUUCGGAAAGAAAGAUGUGAAAUCCCAGAACUUAACUUUGGAACUGCAUUUUUAACUACCGGGCUAGAGUGUGUCAGAGGGAGGUGGAAUUCCGCGUGUAGCAGUGAAAUGCGUAGAUAUGCGGAGGAACACCGAUGGCGAAGGCAGCCUCCUGGGAUAACACUGACGCUCAUGCACGAAAGCGUGGGGAGCAAACAGGAUUAAUACCCUGGUAGUCCACGCCCUAAACGAUGUNAACUAGCUGUUGGGGCCUUCGGGCCUUGGUAGCGCAGCUAAACGCGUGAAGUUGACCGCCCUGGGGGAGUACGGUCGCCAAAGAUUAAAAAACUCAAAAUGAAAUUGACGGGGGUCAU